CAGGGAGAACCUCUAAAGAACCACUCCAGAGGAGUACAGCUCAAGACACCCUGCAAAUCCCAGACUGGCCUCACAAGGACUAAACAAUCACGGUGCCAGCAUGAAGAAGGUGUCUAUAACUACUGGAUCAAGCCCAGACUCCACCGAGGGAUUUACAAUAUUUGUGGCCCUUCAAAAUGUGUCUCCUCUUAAGUUCA
Long non-coding RNA from Dama dama (fallow deer), 197 nucleotides. RefSeq lists it as uncharacterized. NCBI's taxonomy places the organism in Eukaryota, Metazoa, Chordata, Mammalia, Artiodactyla, Cervidae. The record is from RefSeq and is a predicted model, not a curated record. The transcript is spliced from 3 exons.